This 521-nucleotide long non-coding RNA is filed under the name Junco hyemalis (dark-eyed junco). RNAcentral's name for it is "lncRNA (ENSJHYG00000010255.1)". The record is from RNAcentral. Lineage: Eukaryota; Metazoa; Chordata; Aves; Passeriformes; Passerellidae.
CUUUAAUAUUCUGUGCUAGAUUCACAGGGCUCUUCUACAGAUGCUAAGCGUUCAAUCCUGAAGGCUCCACUUCAUCAUCAGAACAAGUAUGUAAAGCUCUGAAUUUCAAAGCUGUGCUACCCUCAAACUCCUCUUCCAUGAAUAUUAAGGGACUUCAGAGGGAAAGGAAGAAAUGUUUUACUUAUUUUAGGUGUUUCAUGACAUUUCUAAGGCUUGAAGAAUUCAACACUUUACAGAAAUUCUUCCGGAUCAUCUAUGCCAGAAGUUCAUUCACACCGAGAUUUCAGCCAGGAUUUCAAAUGCAUUUAAAUCAUGGAAUCAUAGAAUCAGAAUAUGCUGAGUUGGAAGGCAUACAUCAGGAUCAUCGAGUCCAACUCCUGCACAUUAACAGCUUUUAGUUGUCCAUGUAACAUUCCUUGAUAUCACCAUUAUCACUGCUUUUGACAAGCAGUAUUUUCUGUCCCUGAACAUUCAUUUUUGUGCUUAAGUUUUGAGAGCCUCCUGUACCUCAGUAUGGGACC